CUUACGAAAACGGAUAACACUAGACCCAUGGGCGUGCCUUUUGUCUAGACCCACGGAGGGCCUCCCAAGACACGAACAAAAACUCCUCAACAUGAUUUACCUAGCGGCCCGCAAGGCCGUAGCACAACACUGGUCAUGCCCGGACCUCCCGCAGAUAUCUCUGGUCAGGAUAAAACUACGUGACAAUGAUCUGAUGGAUAAACUCACGGCCCAAGUGCAGAACACAUUGACCACAUUCCACAAGGUGUGGGAUCCAUGGGAGCAAUACGACACAUAGACUCAUGGCCCGGGGCGCGCGGCGGCAUCCAUGCGGUACACUUCAGUGGCGACAACUGGGACUCACCCAACGGUCGCCAUCAUACCAUAACCCGGAUGGGUGGAAGCGGCUCCACUGCAGAACGGGUACCUGGUUAUAGCCGGAACACGGGACGCAGCCCACUGGGACGGGCGGCACCGGGUCCACGGCCCCCAGGAGAUCAUUUCAUCUCCGUACUUCAAUACUUUACUAACUCUACUUGUCUCUACAUAUCUAUCCUUUCCUUAUAUGUUUUUAUCUAUUGCAAGCACACCAGACCUGUAAACAAACAGGAGGAGAGAAAAGCUCAAACACUAUCAUACUCUGCCUGAUUACGCACAUAGCAGAAUGACAGCACCCAUGGGGUGGCAUGGACAGAGCAGACAGGAAGGGCACAAUGCCUGACCUAACCAGGCAAGCUCAGAAUACCCCACACAUACGCUUGGGCCACAACAGCACAACACACUCAUCAAAGCCAACCUGAGAGUUCAUGACACAGCACACUCCUCAACAAUACUAC
Molecule: non-coding RNA, 815 nt
Organism: Pelobates cultripes (western spadefoot toad)
Lineage: Eukaryota; Metazoa; Chordata; Amphibia; Anura; Pelobatidae
Source: the annotation of a GenBank genome assembly